This 492-nucleotide ribosomal RNA is filed under the name uncultured bacterium. Its description in RNAcentral is "partial 16S ribosomal RNA". It matches the Rfam family "Bacterial small subunit ribosomal RNA", at positions 29 to 507 of the family's 1533-position model. The record is from RNAcentral.
AGUGAACGCUGGCGGUAGGCCUAACACAUGCAAGUCGAACGGCAGCACAGUAAGAGCUUGCUCUUACGGGUGGCGAGUGGCGGACGGGUGAGGAAUACAUCGGAAUCUACUUUUUCGUGGGGGAUAACGUAGGGAAACUUACGCUAAUACCGCAUACGACCUACGGGUGAAAGCAGGGGAUCUUCGGACCUUGCGCGAUUGAAUGAGCCGAUGUCGGAUUAGCUAGUUGGCGGGGUAAAGGCCCACCAAGGCGACGAUCCGUAGCUGGUCUGAGAGGAUGAUCAGCCACACUGGAACUGAGACACGGUACAGACUCCUACGGGAGGCAGCAGUGGGGAAUAUUGGACAAUGGGCGAAAGCCUGAUACAGCCAUACCGCGUGGGUGAAGAAGGCCUUCGGGUUGUAAAGCCCUUUUGUUGGGAAAGAAAAGCAGCAGGUUAAUACCCCGCUGUUCUGACGGUACCCAAAGAAUAAGCACCGGCUAACUUCGUG